This 465-nucleotide ribosomal RNA is filed under the name uncultured bacterium. RNAcentral describes it as "bacterial SSU rRNA". It matches the Rfam family "Bacterial small subunit ribosomal RNA", at positions 917 to 1382 of the family's 1533-position model. The record is from RNAcentral.
GGACCCGCACAAGCGGUGGAGCAUGUGGUUUAAUUCGAUGCAACGCGAAGAACCUUACCUGGCCUUGACAUCUGUCGAAUCCUGCAGAGAUGCGGGAGUGCCUUCGGGAGCGACAAGACAGGUGCUGCAUGGCUGUCGUCAGCUCGUGUCGUGAGAUGUUGGGUUAAGUCCCGCAACGAGCGCAACCCUUGUCCUUAGUUGCCAUCAUUCAGUUGGGAACUCUAAGGAGACCGCCGGUGACAAACCGGAGGAAGGUGGGGAUGACGUCAAGUCAUCAUGGCCUUUAUGGCCAGGGCUACACACGUGCUACAAUGGCAGGUACAGAGGGAAGCCAACGCGCGAGCGGGAGCCAAUCCCAGAAAGCCUGUCGUAGUCCGGAUCGGAGUCUGCAACUCGACUCUGUGAAGUCGGAAUCGCUAGUAAUCGCAGAUCAGCAUUGCUGCGGUGAAUACGUUCCCGGGUCUU